RNAcentral lists this ribosomal RNA (253 nucleotides) under uncultured bacterium. RNAcentral's name for it is "partial 16S ribosomal RNA". It matches the Rfam family "Bacterial small subunit ribosomal RNA", at positions 524 to 776 of the family's 1533-position model. The record is from RNAcentral.
UACGGAGGGUGCAAGCGUUAUCCGGAAUCACUGGGCGUAAAGCGCACGUAGGCGGAUUGCUAAGUCAGGGGUGAAAUCCUGGAGCUCAACUCCAGAACUGCCUUUGAUACUGGCGAUCUUGAGUCCGGGAGAGGUGAGUGGAACUGCGAGUGUAGAGGUGAAAUUCGUAGAUAUUCGGAAGAACACCAGUGGCGAAGGCGGCUCACUGGUCCGGUACUGACGCUGAUGUGCGAAAGCGUGGGGAGCAAACAGG